GUGGAUUAGAUACCCUAGUAGUCCACGCCGUAAACGAUGGAUACUAGCUGUUUGGACUUCGGUUUGAGUGGCUAAGCGAAAGUGAUAAGUAUCCCACCUGGGGAGUACGCACGCAAGUGUGAAACUCAAAGGAAUUGACGGGGGCCCGCACAAGCGGUGGAGCAUGUGGUUUAAUUCGAUGAUACGCGAGGAACCUUACCAGGGCUUAAAUGUAGAUUGACAGAUUUGGAAACAGAUUUUUCUUCGGACAAUUUACAAGGUGCUGCACGGCUGUCGUCAACU
Molecule: ribosomal RNA, 282 nt
Filed under: uncultured bacterium
Lineage: Bacteria
Description: partial 16S ribosomal RNA
Rfam family: Bacterial small subunit ribosomal RNA
Source: RNAcentral